GCCGAUAAAACUUUAAUUGAAAACAUAUCACUUGGAAAUGUUAAAUAAAUGAUGUAAUCUGAACUCAUUGUUUCUCUGAUGCCUCUGAAACUACCUUUCUCAGGAACAUAAACUAAAAGGUUGAAUUUAAUUUUGCCUUACCCAAAGCACUAAAUAUGAAUUCUGUUUUCAAAAAGAUAUAUCCAAAAGGAAUAUAGAUUUUUAAAGGUAAUAUGUGUGUCACUUUUCAUUCUUCUCAAGCAAAUUAUUAAAAUGUGAACAUUUGGAGUUAAAAGACACAAUGAGUGAAGAAAAUUGUCACCGACAGAGCAUAUGGUAUUUGGUGUAACAUUAUGCAGAAGCCAGAGAGAGCUAUGAACCAUGUUUCUCUUUCCCAUGUCCACGGAAAUGCCAAAGUACACUGGAGCUAUCGAGGAUGUUGACUUUUUCCCGUAAAUGUUUAACUUCUUCUGGAAACCACAGAAACUUAAGUGAUUUAGAGUGUGACUUUCAUGAACAGAAAUAGUCUCCAUAAUCUAAUCUCCAGAAUGCACUAAACCAGGAGAAGAUCCACCUGGGAUAAUUUCGUUGUCAAAGGAAUGGAAGAAUAUUAAGGAGAACAAGUCCUCAUCUCUCCAAAGACCCUUCAUCCUUCAUUUCACAAUAGUCUUUAUUGGUCUGCUGGAGUUUGCUGGAGGUCCACUCCAGACCCUGUUUGCCUGGGUAUCACCGGCAGAGGCUGCAGAGCAGCAAAGAUUGCUGCCUGCUCCUUCCUCUGGAAGCUUCAUCCCAAAGGGGCACCCGCCUGAUGCCAGCCAGAGCUCUCCUGUACGAGAGAUGCCCUGCCCAGUGAGGAGGAAUCUAGAGAAGCAGUCUGGCCAUAGCUUUGCUGCACUGCGAUGUUACCUUUUUGACAUAACCAAGUAAACCAACAGGCUUGAAGACACACCGAUCAUAAAAAUGAAUCUAAGAACCCAGGUGUAAUCUUCUGAUUUCUAGGUCCCAGCGCUUCUCAUUUUUAAGCAGAGUUUCAUAGAAAUACUCUAUUCAAACAAACAAACAAAAAAAACAGAAAAGCCACAGACCUCUGUAACAUUUAAGCAGAGGUGUCCUCUUAGUAAAAUGUAAAAUACAUGUGUGAAAUCUGUUUCCAACAAGCUCUUAUGUUAUUUUUAGUGGCCCUUCUCAUCACCUGUGGUGUUUUGUUUUGCCCUCCCUCAACCCAUUUCUAUUGCCCCCAUCCAUACUUUAGCCAACACCAUUCUCUGAUAUGCUGGGUUGCCUGAGUGCCUCACCAUGUCUACCUAGCCCAUGUGUCUCUCUGUCCCCAUCCACAGGGGUAACACCAUCUUGCAGAGAGCAAACACUCUAAGAAGGCCUGAUGGACUCAUCUGCCUGAAAGUGGUCAUAAUGACUGGCACCAUAACCCAUUCUGAGUGUCCAUGGAGUAAUAUAGAGAUGAUAGUAGUUUGCCUCAUGGAAUCUUAAGAAAUAACAUUGUUAUCAUGAUUCUUGCAGCAUUAUGAGUAUUGGCAAGGUGUCCCUGCAAUAGGUUAAAGGUGUGCACUCAAUUU
Molecule: long non-coding RNA, 1553 nt
Filed under: Homo sapiens (human)
Lineage: Eukaryota; Metazoa; Chordata; Mammalia; Primates; Hominidae
Description: HSALNT0017144
Source: RNAcentral